Molecule: ribosomal RNA, 1481 nt
Filed under: uncultured Bordetella sp.
Lineage: Bacteria; Pseudomonadati; Pseudomonadota; Betaproteobacteria; Burkholderiales; Alcaligenaceae
Description: partial 16S-23S ribosomal RNA intergenic spacer
Rfam family: Bacterial small subunit ribosomal RNA
Source: RNAcentral
GGUUCGAUUCUGGCUCAGAUUGAACGCUGGCGGGAUGCUUUACACAUGCAAGUCGAACGGCAGCACGGACUUCGGUCUGGUGGCGAGUGGCGAACGGGUGAGUAAUGUAUCGGAACGUGCCUAGUAGCGGGGGAUAACUACGCGAAAGCGUAGCUAAUACCGCAUACGCCCUUCGGGGGAAAGCGGGGGACCUUCGGGCCUCGCACUAUUUAGAGCGGCCGAUAUCGGAUUAGCUAGUUGGUGGGUAACGGCUCACCAAGGCGACGAUCCGUAGCUGGUUUGAGAGGAUGACCAGCCACACUGGGACUGAGACACCGGCCCAGACUCCUACGGGGAGGCAGCAGUGGGGAAUUUUUGGACAGUGGAAACCUGAUCCAGCCAUCCCGCGUGUGCGAUGAAGGCCUUCGGGUUGUAAAGCACUUUUUUGGCGGGAAAAAACGGCUGGGAUAAUACCCCGUGCAGCUGACGGUACCUGCAGAAUAAGCACCGGCUAACUACGUGCCAGCAGCCGCGGUAAUACGUAGGGUGCACGGCGUUAAUCGGAAUUACUGGGCGUAAAGCGUGCGCAGGCGGUUCGGAAAGAAAGAUGUGAAAUCCCAGAGCUUAACUUUGGAACUGCCAUUUUUAACUACCGAGCUAGAGUGUGUCAGAGGGAGGUGGAAUUCCGCGUGUAGCAGUGAAAUGCGUAGAUAUGCGGAGGAACACCGAUAGCGAAGGCAGCCUCUGGACAACACUGACGCUCAUGCACGAAAGCGUGGGGAGCAAACGGGAUUAGAUACCCUGGUAGUCCACGCCCUAAACGAUGUCAACUAGCUGUUGGGGCCUUCGGGCCUUGUGGCGCAGCUAACGUGAAGUUGACCGCCUGGGGAGUACGGUCGCAAGAUUAAAACUCAAAGGUGUGACGGGGACCCGCACAAGCGGUGGAUGAUGUGGAUUAAUUCGAUGCAACGCGAAAAACCUUACCUACCCUUGACAUGUCUGGAAUCCCGAAGAGAUUUAGGGUGCUCGCAAAGAGAACCGGAACACAGGUGCUGCAUGGCUGUCGUCAGCUCGUGUCGUGAGAUGUUGGGUUAAGUCCCGCAACGAGCGCAACCCUUGUCAUUGGUUGCUACGAAAGGGCACUCUAAUGAGACUGCCGGUGAUGAAACUGGAGGAAGGUGGGGAUGACGUCAAGUCCUCAUGGCCCUUAUGGGUAGGGCUUCACACGUCAUACAAUGGUCGGGACAGAGGGUCGCCAACCCGCGAGGAGCCAAUCCCAGAAACCCGAUCGUAGUCCGGAUCGCAGUCUGCCAACUCGACUGCGUGAAGUCAGAAUCGCUAGUAAUCGCGGAUCAGCAUGUCGCAGUGAAUACGUUCCCGGGUCUUGUACACACCGCCCGUCACACCAUGGGAGUGGGUUUUACCAAGUAGUUAGCCUAACCGUAAGGAGGGCGAUUACCACGGUAGGAUUCAUGACUGGGGUGAAGUCGUAACAAGGCCAA